RNAcentral lists this ribosomal RNA (497 nucleotides) under uncultured euryarchaeote. RNAcentral's name for it is "bacterial SSU rRNA". It matches the Rfam family "Archaeal small subunit ribosomal RNA", at positions 326 to 813 of the family's 1478-position model. Lineage: Archaea; Methanobacteriati; Methanobacteriota. The record is from RNAcentral.
GUGGUUGCAGCAGGCGCGAAAACUUUACAAUGCUGGCAACAGCGAUAAGGGAACCUCGAGUGCCAGGUUACAAAUCUGGCUGUCGUGAUGCCUAAAAAGCAUUGCAUAGCAAGGGCCGGGCAAGACCGGUGCCAGCCGCCGCGGUAACACCGGCGGCUCGAGUGGUAACCGUUAUUAUUGGGUCUAAAGGGUCUGUAGCCGGCCGGAUAAGUCUCUUGGGAAAUCUGGCAGCUUAACUGUUAGGCUUUCAGGAGAUACUGUCUGGCUAGAGGCCGGGAGAGGUGAGAGGUACUUCAGGGGUAGGGGUGAAAUCUUGUAAUCCUUGGAGGACCACCAGUGGCGAAGGCGUCUCACCAGAACGGACCUGACGGCAAGGGACGAAAGCUAGGGGCGCGAACCGGAUUAGAUACCCGGGUAGUCCUAGCUGAAGGGAUGGGCUGUACAUGUAUGCCAAGGACUGGCAGGGAAGGGAGGAAUGGAAGGGAGGAGGCGACAGG